This 503-nucleotide ribosomal RNA is filed under the name uncultured bacterium. Its description in RNAcentral is "partial 16S ribosomal RNA". It matches the Rfam family "Bacterial small subunit ribosomal RNA", at positions 28 to 523 of the family's 1533-position model. The record is from RNAcentral.
GAUGAACGCUAGCGACAGGCUUAACACAUGCAGGUCGAGGGGCAGCAUAAAAGUAGCAAUACUUUGGUGGCGACCGGCGCACGGGUGAGUAACGCGUAUGCAACCUACCUAUCAGAGGGGAAUAACCCGGCGAAAGUCGGACUAAUACCGCAUAAAACAGGGGCACCGCAUGGUGAUAUUUGUUAAAGAAAUUCGCUGAUAGAUGGGCAUGCGUUCCAUUAGGUAGUUGGUGAGGUAACGGCUCACCAAGCCGACGAUGGAUAGGGGAACUGAGAGGUUGGUCCCCCACACUGGAACUGAGACACGGACCAGACUCCUACGGGAGGCAGCAGUGAGGAAUAUUGGUCAAUGGGCGGGAGCCUGAACCAGCCAAGUCGCGUGAAGGAAGAAGGAUCUAUGGUUCGUAAACUUCUUUUGCAGGGGAAUAAAGUGCAGGACGUGUCCUGUUUUGUAUGUACCCUGGGAAUAAGGAUCGGCUAACUCCGUGCCAGCAGCCGCCGUAA